This 244-nucleotide unclassified non-coding RNA is filed under the name Hevea brasiliensis (rubber tree). The record is from RNAcentral. Lineage: Eukaryota; Viridiplantae; Streptophyta; Magnoliopsida; Malpighiales; Euphorbiaceae.
GUGAUCCAAGAAAUCAUUUUUUAUAUAAAUCUAUUUCCACUGAAUGAAGCUUCAGGAUGAGAAAUUCUCUCUGAACUUUAAAACAUUCCAGAAGGAAAUACUCCAGAAAUGAAACAUUUGCAAUCCUCAUAUUGGCAGGAAAAGUACAGCACAGAGGAGUUAUAAUUAAUGAUCUCGUUUCUUCCAUGCAAACGUGGAUAUUAGAAUUCUUGUAUCAAUUCCGAGAGAAUACAAAACUCAAUUU